This 148-nucleotide small nuclear RNA is filed under the name Microcebus murinus (gray mouse lemur). Its description in RNAcentral is "U2 spliceosomal RNA (ENSMICG00000024876.3)". It matches the Rfam family "U2 spliceosomal RNA". Rfam says of the family: U2 is a small nuclear RNA (snRNA) component of the spliceosome (involved in pre-mRNA splicing). Complementary binding between U2 snRNA (in an area lying towards the 5' end but 3' to hairpin I) and the branchpoint sequence (BPS) of the intron results the bulging out of an unpaired adenosine, on the BPS, which initiates a nucleophilic attack at the intronic 5' splice site, thus starting the first of two transesterification reactions that mediate splicing. The record is from RNAcentral. Lineage: Eukaryota; Metazoa; Chordata; Mammalia; Primates; Cheirogaleidae.
CUCACUUCUCAGCCUUUUGGCUAAGAGCAAGUGUAGUAUCUGUUCUUAGUUUGAUAAUAAUUGGCACCCGUAUAAGGGCAUCAUUCUAUGAGCCCUUAUAGGGGUGCCACAUACUAUGACAAUGUUUACGUGUAUCAUCUCAUUAAGU